This 152-nucleotide non-coding RNA is filed under the name Albidovulum aquaemixtae. RNAcentral describes it as "Defluviimonas aquaemixtae Ruegeria cis2 sRNA". It matches the Rfam family "Ruegeria cis2 sRNA". From Rfam's summary of the family: Cis-encoded. Targets ABC transporter. The record is from Rfam by way of RNAcentral. Lineage: Bacteria; Pseudomonadati; Pseudomonadota; Alphaproteobacteria; Rhodobacterales; Paracoccaceae.
GACGUCUUGAACGGGUUGUAGUUGAUGAACGCGUAACCCCGCGCCUGGUCAAUGAUGUGAAAGAGCGGGUUCCAGUCGAACAUCGCGACCAUUGUGUAGGUCAUCGAGUUGGCCACGAACAUCUUGCCUGACGCGAACAUGUUGACGCGCGU